Molecule: long non-coding RNA, 1094 nt
Filed under: Fragaria vesca (wild strawberry)
Lineage: Eukaryota; Viridiplantae; Streptophyta; Magnoliopsida; Rosales; Rosaceae
Description: long non-coding RNA (FVES_LNC001255)
Source: RNAcentral
ACUAAGGUUUUGUCUCACAGUUUAAAAAUAUAAAGACGACUUGAGCAAGUUAUUCAACGCAAAUAAAAAAGAAAGAAAAGCAUUGCAGUUAGUGAUGAGAUAUCUUCGGAUCUUCCUUAACCGGUCCUGCUCUUUGACGACUCAAUCUGGAAUGCCGCCAGCCGCCACCUUCCUCUCCGUUGUUGCCUGAUCGUCAGUUGUCUCUUCUCUCCUCUCUCAUGCUCAUCGAUUAUAUGAUCUUGAUUGUAAAUUGGAAUUGUGCGAAUUUGAUUUGGGGGGUUUCGUUUGGGUUUGUUUAGGUUGAUUUGGUUUUCGUUUGGGAUUUUCAGGGUUUUUGAUUACACUGUUUGUCUAGUACAAGACAACACUGUUGCGGUUCGCGAUGCAUCGUCGAGUUUCUUCCCUCCAAUUCGGUAAGUUCUUCUCUUAAAUCUUCCUCUGAACUUGCAUGAACUCUAAGUUUUCCAGUUGAAGUUCUUGGCCGUAAUUUGUGUUUUCUUUCUGGAAAUUUAGGGAAGAUCGAUUGUUUGUAUUGUAUGGUGCUCCAAUUGGUUUCAGUAGAGAACUUGAGAGGUCAUAUGCAAUUUUGUAAUUUUAGGGUUUAUGAACCAAUAAUGAAACUGUGAUUUGAUUCCUGAUUUUUUUAGUUCAAGCCAAGGAUGAGGUUGUUCACACAAUUAUGAAAUUUGUGAAGACCAGAUAUGUUUCAGGUACCUAAACCUGCAAUGGCUUGAUCGAUGAAGCAGGCCAAGAAGGGAUGGUGAAUUUCAGCUCCAAUUGUUUUGAAAUUGUAAAUGUUCAAGUUGGAUUUCCUCUCUGUGAUUGUUCUUUGGCAGAACUUGACCUAAAGUUAAAGAUUAAUACUGAUUUCAGGUUUGGGAAAUAGCACAUCGUGCACAAACACUAUGCAUAACUACACAGGUUUGUUUCUCUUCUUAAGUUUGUUUCUCCUUAAUCGACAUCAUUUGUUUUUCACAUCCUAGCUUUAGAUAAAACCAAAGGGAUUUCUUUUGCCUUUGUUAAGACCUUGAAUUCUACUCGAGGACCACUUCUAAAUGCUAUUGAAAUAAGUAUAUGCAUGUCGAUUGCUGCAU